Molecule: long non-coding RNA, 285 nt
Filed under: Homo sapiens (human)
Lineage: Eukaryota; Metazoa; Chordata; Mammalia; Primates; Hominidae
Description: non-protein coding lnc-DIAPH3-3:4
Source: RNAcentral
CACUCUUAUGGGUGCUGUUACUGUUGGCCCAAGAACACAUUUUGAGAAGACUGGCCUAGAGGAACCAAUAAUGUGGGUUUCUUAUGGGCAGGAUGGCACUGGAGAAGAGGGUGAGGCUCAGUGUCUUCUCCCAAAUUUUCAUAUCAAAUAAAACCUCUUUCCCCGGAGAGAAGUAACAAGAGAGGCAGAGGGAAAUGAUUCUAACAGAAGUUCUAGCCACAUGGAAGGAAGCAUUAGCAGUGAGGAAUAACUGUUCUCUCCCUAAACAUACCACCCAAGGUAAUG